RNAcentral lists this ribosomal RNA (440 nucleotides) under uncultured bacterium. RNAcentral describes it as "partial 16S ribosomal RNA". It matches the Rfam family "Bacterial small subunit ribosomal RNA", at positions 338 to 795 of the family's 1533-position model. The record is from RNAcentral.
CCUACGGGUGGCAGCAGUGGGGAAUAUUGCACAAUGGGGGAAACCCUGAUGCAGCGACGCCGCGUGAGUGAAGAAGUAUUUCGGUAUGUAAAGCUCUAUCAGCAGGGAAGAAAAUGACGGUACCUGAUUAAGAAGCACCUGCUAACUACGUGCCAGCAGCCGCGGUAAUACGUAGGGGCCACGCGUUAUCCGGAUUUACUGGGUGGAAAGGGAGCGUAGACGGCAGCACAAGUCUGGAGUGAAAUGCCGGGGCUUAACCCCGGAACUGCUUUGGAAACUGUGCAGCUAGAGUGCAGAAGAGGUAAGUGGAAUUCCUGGUGUAGCGGUGAAAUGCGUAGAUAUUAGGAGGAACACCAGUGGCGAAGGCGGCUUACUGGACUGUAACUGACGUUGAGGCUCGAAAGCGUGGGGAGCAAACAGGAUUAGAUACCCGUGUAGUC